Molecule: ribosomal RNA, 252 nt
Filed under: uncultured Bacteroidales bacterium
Lineage: Bacteria; Pseudomonadati; Bacteroidota; Bacteroidia; Bacteroidales
Description: partial 16S ribosomal RNA
Rfam family: Bacterial small subunit ribosomal RNA
Source: RNAcentral
UACGGAGGAUGCGAGCGUUAUCCGGAUUUAUUGGGUUUAAAGGGUGCGUAGGCGGGCAUUUAAGCCGGCGGUCAAAUGUCGGGGCUCAACCCCGGCCUGCCGUCGGAACUGGGUGCCUUGAGUGGGCGAGAAGUAUGCGGAAUGCGUGGUGUAGCGGUGAAAUGCAUAGAUAUCACGCAGAACCCCGAUUGCGAAGGCAGCCUACCGGCUUCUGUCUGACGCUGAGGCACGAAAGCGUGGGUAUCGAACAGG